This 1245-nucleotide ribosomal RNA is filed under the name Triticum aestivum (bread wheat). Its description in RNAcentral is "partial small subunit ribosomal RNA". The record is from RNAcentral. Lineage: Eukaryota; Viridiplantae; Streptophyta; Magnoliopsida; Poales; Poaceae.
GUGCAGCCACCUAACAUAGAAGCUUACGUUCUGCCAAGGCUAGAGAUGCGCUUUGAAACUUUCAAAGAAGCAAAGGACUUCUACAACGUCUAUGCAAAACACGCGGGGUUUGCUGUCAGGGAAGGCUCAAAGGUUAAGACCAGAGUCUACCUUUAUUGCACGUGCUAUGGAGUCUAUGAGUCGAAGGUGUCAGAAGCAAAUAGACAACAGAACAAGACGACAACCAGGACUAACUGCGGGGCUAAAAUGAGGCUGAAGAAGGAAAAGGACGGAACACUUGUCCUAAAAGAGAUAGUCUGGGAACACAACCACAGGCUACAGCUCACCCCCUCAAAUGCUUGUCUUCUUGCACUCCCACAAAAACUUGACAAAACAAUCUUGGAGUACGUCAAGUACCUGCAGUUCAAAGGCAUUGAACACGCGCAAAUCAUGAGCAUACUGGGCGGCGAUGACCCCGGUAGCUACUUCCUCGAAAUGAAUGCGAAAGACCUGAUUAACCUCAAAGCAAAGAAUUCAAGGAUGGAUGAUGUGAAUGAUGUCCUAAAGACUGCCAACUUCUUCAGGGAGAUGAAAGCUAUAAACAGGGAAUUCUUCUGUGACAUGCAACUUGAUGAGUCCGAUAGAGUUAAGAACAUAUUCUGGGCGAACGCAAGCUGCCGAGGGGCGUAUCAGGACUUUGGUGACUGUGUAACGUUUGACACCACAUAUAAGACCAACAAGUACCAUAUGCCACUUGGGGUGUUUGUGGGUACUAACAACCACUUACAGACUACAUUCUUUGGUUACGCCCUGAUAAGAGAUGAGGAUGCAGAUUCAUUCAGAUGGUUGUUCAAGACAUUUUUAAGGUGCAUGAGAGGGAAGGCUCCUACAUGCAUCCUCACAGACCAGUGCCCGACAAUGGCUUUGGCGAUCCCAGAUGCUUUCAAGAACACAGUACACAAGCUGUGCCGCCGGCACAUUAUGAAGAAGUACAGGGAACACCUCGCAUACCUGUACAACCUGCACAAAGACUUUAAGGAUGAAUUCACAUCAAUCCUCAACUGGCCCCUCAUGCCAACUGAGUUUGAGGCUGCUUGGAAAGGACUCACGGAUAGGUACAACCUCCAUGAUGAUGCCACGAUGGUGGCCAUGCGGAACGAGUGUGAGAGAUGGAUAUCAGCCUACUUCAAAGAAAUUUUCUACGCCAAAAUGACAUCCACACAACAAAGUGAGACCAUGAACUAUGUGCUUAGAGGAACUUUGUAA